Long non-coding RNA from Beta vulgaris subsp. vulgaris (sugar beet), 3532 nucleotides. RefSeq lists it as uncharacterized. The transcript has 3 exons. The record is from RefSeq and is a predicted model, not a curated record. Lineage: Eukaryota; Viridiplantae; Streptophyta; Magnoliopsida; Caryophyllales; Amaranthaceae.
CGAACUUCAUCUAUUUUAAACCUUCAUUUUUCGACACUAGGAGUCUAGGAGUGUAGGAGUAAACACAAAAACAAAAUGAAAUCAGCGCUCAAAAGUCAAAAUUGUGAUAGUGGUAAAUAAUUUCGUGGAGGUAGAGUGAGAGACAAAACUACAAGAUGAGAGGGAGAACAAGGAUGAACGCCAUGAGAUCAGGGUUAGUAGUGGUCGGAGCAUUAGCAUUUGGAUACUUGACCUUGCAAAUCGGUUUCAAACCCUUCUUAUUAAAAGCCCAACAAACUCUGGAAUUAGAGAAGGAAAAGGAAUUACAGCAGCAGCAACAACAACAACAACAACCAUCCUUUGAUUUUCCCGAUUCUUCUUCCCCUGUUCGCAACUGAACUUUCAAUCUUAUUUUCAGAGCAACUAAUAUCAAGUUUACGGACAAUCACCUAUGCGAAAUGCGGGAGGAUAAGAAAUGCCGGAGGAUCAUGGCUCCCAAGUUGCAAGGCUUCUUUUCUAAUUCAACAUGAUGUGGCUCCUUUCAGUAGUCAAACUUAUUAGUUGCUCUGUCCCUAAUUCUCGUCGUAGGAGAAAUUGUUCUCAUCGUUUGAAGUUUGACACUAAACAUGAAGGUAUUGGAAUCUCGGAUGCGGCCAAUAUGGCUAGAUCAAGAAUGUUCUUUCCAAAUUAUGUCAUAAUGAUAGACUUUCUUAUCAAUAGCUGCUUGAUUCAGCAAAUACAAGGGGGAUGCGCUGUAUUGCUCGAUCUGGUUCAUUGUAGUUUCUUGGAAGAUGAAUUUGAUGUACCCUUGUUUAAUUGGGUUUUGUUUUUCUUUAAGACUUAUUGUAGAUGUCGUUUGGCCUUCAAUUAAUGAAAUUUCUCGUUCAAAAAAUAAAAAAAGAUGCAUAUUAUGUUAAAAAAAGGAAGAUGAUAAAGAGAUUGCAUAUUUAGUUCAAACAUUUUACACAUUUAUUACAAAAAAUAUGCAAAAAUAUCCUUCUUCUCAUUCUCAUUUUAAGAAUCUUUUCAUUUGACCCUAAAUCCUUAUCGCUACUCUCUCCGUUUCUUUUUAAUCUACAAGCUUUCUUUUUUAGGCUGUUUCUUUUUAAUCUACACAUUGUUGCUUUUUCUAUUUUUGGUAACAUACCACAUCUACUUUCUCCUCAUUUUCCAUCCAUGUCAUUCAAUUUUUAAUAUUUUAACCCACUCUUUUGUUUCUCUCUUUCACUUUUCAGUUUCUCUCUCAUACUUUUGUACUUACUCCUUUGUUCUCUCCAAAGUAAAGUGAGUAAAUUAAAAUGAAAUGGAGGGAGUGUAUUCUAUGUAUGAUGAGGAAUGAUGCUAAAAUUAACUCUUAAUGAUACCAACUAUUGUCCGUAUGUACUAAAUAAUAAGUACUCAGUUAUUUGCUUUCCAUAACACCGACUAUCGACAUCUAUGUGCUAAAUAGUUAUCCAUCAAUCGAAAAGGGUUUUUUACGGAAUAUUUGACCAGCUAUCAGUAUACUUUGGCUCUCAAUAUAUACCACUUUCUUUAAAUCCUCGUGGUGAUUGAUAUUAUGGUUUUAUAUAGAGUUUUCUCCCCUAUUUAUGUGCUAAAAGUUAUGGUUAUGGUGCUCUUAGGAGCCAUUUGGUACUAACUCUCUACAUCUAGUUGUGGUUUGCUGUUUUGUAUUGGAUUGUAGGUUUUAGGGAGCUAUUACCUACUUUAUAUGAUUGCACACUGGAUUAGAGAGGUUGGACGCUGAGUUUUAAGAUCCCGAGGAUGCUUUCUGGAACUUCGUGCAAAGGAAGAACAAGAAACACGCCUAAACUGACUUGGCCCGACAGCAUCGGGCGGCCAAGCCCGAUCGGGCGAAGAAACGACUUUCGUGGUUCUGCUGUAGGCCCGAUCGGGCGUUCAACGCCCAGUCGCGAUUCGGUGUCUCGCCCGAUCGGGUGAAUUGGCCCGACAUCGGGCCCCCUGCCAGCUGCUGCUACCUACCAUUUUAUCAGACCGCCCGAUCUCAUCGGGCGUCUGUCAAUUUUCGCCUUUUUCUUCGCUUUGGAGCACGAUUUCAUUGGGCAUCUUGGGCCCGAUCGGGCGACUGACACGCGGUUUUUUUAAUGAAUACAGGCCCUUCUUUCGAGACUUUUGGCUAUUGUUUUAGGGCUUGUAUAAAUAGAAAAAUCAGAAUUAUUAGCUUUCAUCUUGGUUUUUAUUAUUAGUUUUCUCUAGAGAGUGUUUGAAGAACCUUAAUUUAGUGCUUUGUGAUUUCAAUUCAAGAUCAAACCUUUUGCUUAUUCAUAGUUCAAUAUAAUUCGGUAAUCUUUCUUCAUUAUUUUUUUGUUAUUUCUUCCAUUGUUAAUUAGAUUAUUUUCUUAGUUAUUUGCUAUGUUUCAAAGUAUGAGUUUUUAUAUGAUUCUUGUUAUUGUUUUCAUGAUUAUGAGUGAGUAGUUCUAUAUCUAGAAUUAUGGAGAUCUAUGUAUGCAAUGAGGGAUUGAUAGAUUAGUUUGAUUAUCUUGUAUUUCAAUUGUUUCCUUUGAUUGAUUCUUCAUGCUAGAAUUAUAAGUUAGGCCUGAUUUGGAUUUCUAUUGUUGCAAUACUGAAUCUACUUCGAGAGGAGAGAUACCGUAUAGGCUUUCAAUCAUUAGGCAAAGUGACCCUUGACUAUGUGAUGAGUGAUAUUUAUAUCACUCUAAACCUCUUAUUUAUCCCUAUAUUUAACCUUUAUUUUGUAUUUUACCCUCUUUUAUUUGUUUGUUUUGCUUAUUUUUUUUGUUUUACUAGUUCUUUUUAGAUAUGUCUUUGUUUUACUUUUCAAGUUACUUUUUACAUUAUUUUCUUGGUUCUUUAUAGGUCAAAUUGAAAUAUACUUUUAAUUUCAUAUAUAAAAGCCAAAGGAAUGCACAAAUGUGGAGUAAAGCAUGAAUGAUAAAGGGAAGACAAAUGAAAGUUGAAGAAGCAAGAUUCACAAGAUGGUCCACUUUGAACGACCAUAUCUUCCAUACUACAAAUCAUUUUUCAGUGAUUCAAAUUGAAGAGUAAAAUUUGGCUCGUUAUCUUUCCAACGAUAGGUCACAUGCUUGAUUUGCAUUAAAAACGAGAAAGUUAUGGUCAUUUGAAGUUGAGCUGUUUGUGCAGUUUUCUUAGGAGCGCCCGCUCCCUUUUCAAAGGAGCGCCCGCUCCUCGUUUUUGGAGCUCCCGCCCCCAGGUCGCUCUCUGGUCGCUCCAACUUUCUGUUUUGCCCAGUUACCAUAGGAGCGCCCGCUCCUAUUUAUAAAGGAGCGCCCGCUCCUUUCAAAUUUCCGGACAGCUCUGUUUUUUUCGCGACUCUUUAAUGAUGUAAUAAUUGGACCUAUAAAUAGGAAUCAUCCCUAUUCAUGAAGGGGGCCCUAAUUUUGAAGGGGGAUUAGCCUCCAUUAGUCUUAGAUUAGGAUUUUAAGUGAGAGAAAUCUCAAAACCUAGAGAGAGAAAAGGGAGAAAACUCAAAGAGAGGUUGAAGAUUGUAGAUUCAAGGGUGACACUUGUAUUGGAACUUUCAACCAUUCAUCAAUGAGCAUUUCUUACUAUA